Molecule: long non-coding RNA, 1589 nt
Organism: Engraulis encrasicolus (European anchovy)
Lineage: Eukaryota; Metazoa; Chordata; Actinopteri; Clupeiformes; Engraulidae
Exons: 8
Source: RefSeq, a predicted model, not a curated record
CUUUUCUACCGUUGGAAAUGCAAGAUGCGGCGACUUGACUUCAGACACCGAGAGAGGCUGGCGGCCCAGGUCUUGUGGCCACAUCUGUCCAAGCUCCUACUCUGAUUGAACAGUUGGAUGAUCAGACUGAUGAUGAAAAGUGCUACACAGUUCUCACACAUAUUCUGACUCCGAAGCCGCUGCAGUGUAAAAUCUGAGAUGUCUUUUCUGGUUGAUUUUGUGCAGAUUUCUGACAGCGAUGGUGAGGGAAGCAGUGUACCGAACUCUCAGAUGACUCGGACCAGGUGACCAAACCCAUGCAAAGCACAAUGACUGUGCUGAGGCGUUCCGCCCCCCUCCCCCUCCACACCACUCAAGGCACGGCGGCGGCCCAACCACAAACUAACGGAGAUUAACAUGAGGCUGGAUGCGCUUGGCUCCCUGCUGCGUCCAUCACCAGAGGGGCCGGGGUUGCUGCGGCAGCUAGCCAAUUAAAGGAGGAGGAUGAAGGAGAGGAGUCUGACGAUGCAGACAUCGCCAUCGCAUGCAGUCCACGCCCUCGCAGGAAAACCAGCCAAUGAAAACGCUUGCAGCAGCAUCAGCAGAACACACCGGCACGACUGACAGAGCUUCUGAAGCAUGCAGUGGAAGAGCUGUCAGUCAAGCUAAAGGUCCCAUCCUCCAACCUGCUGCUGCUGCACGGAGAGGCGGAACUUAACACCUCACACACUAUUGGCCAGCUAGGACUCUGCAUCGCUGACAUCUUUGUCUGGAACCAACUUCACAUCCCUCUUCACUGCACUACUGACACUGAGAUGGAAUCCACAACCCAAUCACUAGUGGUCUGCAUUGGGAACCUGAAGAGUCUGUCAUAACCGCCAGGAAUGACCGUGUGACCAUUCCCGUUGCAGACGGCCUGACUUGCACAAUUGACAAGCUGUUCAAGCUUUACUGGGUCUGCAACUUGUUAUAUCCAGCACAGCUCAGCUCUGUUUUCACCUUCUUUGAAUAUGUUUAUGACGUUCCCAUCUCAACCAACAAACGAACAAAGGCACUACAACUUCUCUCAAAGCUUCCCAGCAGCCCAGUGAUCACUCAACAUGUGUUUAUGCCCAAAAUGUAAAUAGUUACUACAGACAUCAAGAAAGUAGUUUGGCAUCUUUGUCAAGUACACGCUUUGUCAGAUGCACAGGAUAUGAUGAUAAUUUGCAGCCAAGAUGGCUGUUCAAGUGUACAAGGAGUUACUAUGUAGACACCACCAGUCCACAACAACAGAAAUGGGAGUAUCUUUCAAUGACUCUUUUGAAUCCACUGACAUUCAGACAGCCUAUGCAGCUUCAAGUAACACCUGAAGAAACAACAUUUUGUGUCCCUUCUCAAGGACCGAUUCUCCAUAAUUUACCAGUUAAUGGCAAUUUAUCUGUGUUCAUGCUUGUUAGGAUUAUUACAGGGAAUUAUUUUGAUUAUCAUUUUGGCAACACUUUAUUUUAUCAUUACAUCUAUUAGCUCUAAUACAUACAGUGUUAAUGCCUGUAUGCUGUAUAAGUAACUUGUAAGGCAUGCACUAAGCAAAAUCAAACAUACGUUAGGCAUGUAUUCGCAAAUGCCUU